Molecule: ribosomal RNA, 492 nt
Filed under: uncultured bacterium
Lineage: Bacteria
Description: partial 16S ribosomal RNA
Rfam family: Bacterial small subunit ribosomal RNA
Source: RNAcentral
AGUGAACGCUGGCGGUAGGCCCAACACAUGCAAGUCGAACGGCAGCACAGUAAGAGCUUGCUCUUACGGGUGGCGAGUGGCGGACGGGUGAGGAAUACAUCGGAAUCUACUUUUUCGUGGGGGAUAACGUAGGGAAACUUACGCUAAUACCGCAUACGACCUACGGGUGAAAGCAGGGGAUCUUCGGACCUUGCGCGAUUGAAUGAGCCGAUGUCGGAUUAGCUAGUUGGCGGGGUAAAGGCCCACCAAGGCGACGAUCCGUAGCUGGUCUGAGAGGAUGAUCAGCCACACUGGAACUGAGACACGGUCCAGACUCCUACGGGAGGCAGCAGUGGGGAAUAUUGGACAAAGGGCGCAAGCCUGAUCCAGCCAUACCGCGUGGGUGAAGAAGGCCUUCGGGUUGUAAAGCCCUUUUGUUGGGAAAGAAAAGCAGCAGGUUAAUACCCCGCUGUUCUGACGGUACCCAAAGAAUAAGCACCGGCUAACUUCGUG